CCUACGGGGUGCUGCAGUGGGGAAUAUUGGACAAUGGGCGAAAGCCUGAUCCAGCCAUGCCGCGUGUGUGAAGAAGGCCUUCGGGUUGUAAAGCACUUUCAGUGGGGAAGAAAGCCUUGGGGCUAAUACCCUCGAGGAAGGACAUCACCCACAGAAGAAGCACCGGCUAACUCCGUACCAGCAGCCGCGGUAAUACGGAGGGUGCGAGCGUUAAUCGGAAUUACUGGGCGUAAAGCGCGCGUAGGCGGUCUGAUAAGCCGGUUGUGAAAGCCCCGGGCUCAACCUGGGAACGGCAUCCGGAACUGUCAGGCUAGAGUGCAGGAGAGGAAGGUAGAAUUCCCGGUGUAGCGGUGAAAUGCGUAGAGAUCGGGAGGAAUACCAGUGGCGAAGGCGGCCUUCUGGACUGACACUGACGCUGAGGUGCGAAAGCGUGGGUAGCAAACAGGAUUAGAUACCCGAGUGUC
RNAcentral lists this ribosomal RNA (464 nucleotides) under Vreelandella stevensii. Its description in RNAcentral is "partial 16S ribosomal RNA". It matches the Rfam family "Bacterial small subunit ribosomal RNA", at positions 338 to 795 of the family's 1533-position model. Lineage: Bacteria; Pseudomonadati; Pseudomonadota; Gammaproteobacteria; Oceanospirillales; Halomonadaceae. The record is from RNAcentral.